Molecule: long non-coding RNA, 439 nt
Filed under: Polistes fuscatus (common paper wasp)
Lineage: Eukaryota; Metazoa; Arthropoda; Insecta; Hymenoptera; Vespidae
Description: uncharacterized LOC122520016
Source: RNAcentral
AGGAAGAGGACGGUAGGCGCCGUGUCUCGAAGAUGUUAAAGGGUGGAAGACCUGCUUGUUGCGAACGAACAGGAGAACGACGUUCCUCCGAGUGCAAAUUUAUGAAGGAGGAAUAUCCGAUUAUCUGAACUCGAGAGAAAAUAUAAGGGAAGAAAAAUUGUAUAAACGUUAUUUUACUCGUGGACACCAAUCUUGCUAGUAUUUAGUAACCAUGAUAACGGAUGGGAUAUACACUCCGCAACGAUCAAGGUCAUGCUGCUUUUUACUUCUCCAAGAGGAGGAGGGAGAAGAUGCACGAGGAAGAGGAAUAAAAGGACGAAGAAGAGAAAGAAGAUACGGGGAUAAAAAUAGCCUCACUCGGUGAAAAAUAAAAAGUAACCGACUGAGAUGACCACCGGGCGAUGGAUGUAUGUAGAAUAAAAAGAAGAAGAGUAAGAGA